CAUGCAAGUCGAGCGGUAACAGAAAGUAGCUUGCUACUUUGCUGACGAGCGGCGGACGGGUGAGUAAUGCUUGGGAACAUGCCUUGAGGUGGGGGACAACAGUUGGAAACGACUGCUAAUACCGCAUAAUGUCUACGGACCAAAGGGGGCUUCGGCUCUCGCCUUUAGAUUGGCCCAAGUGGGAUUAGCUAGUUGGUGAGGUAAUGGCUCACCAAGGCAACGAUCCCUAGCUGGUUUGAGAGGAUGAUCAGCCACACUGGAACUGAGACACGGUCCAGACUCCUACGGGAGGCAGCAGUGGGGAAUAUUGCACAAUGGGCGAAAGCCUGAUGCAGCCAUGCCGCGUGUGUGAAGAAGGCCUUCGGGUUGUAAAGCACUUUCAGUCAGGAGGAAAGGGUGUGAGUUAAUACCUCACAUCUGUGACGUUACUGACAGAAGAAGCACCGGCUAACUCCGUGCCAGCAGCCGCGGUAAUACGGAGGGUGCGAGCGUUAAUCGGAAUUACUGGGCGUAAAGCGUACGCAGGCGGUUUGUUAAGCGAGAUGUGAAAGCCCCGGGCUCUACCUGGGAACUGCAUUUCGAACUGGCAAACUAGAGUGUGAUAGAGGGUGGUAGAAUUUCAGGUGUAGCGGUGAAAUGCGUAGAGAUCUGAAGGAAUACCGAUGGCGAAGGCAGCCACCUGGGUCAACACUGACGCUCAUGUACGAAAGCGUGGGGAGCAAACGGGAUUAGAUACCCCGGUAGUCCACGCCGUAAACGAUGUCUACUAGAAGCUCGGAACCUCGGUUCUGUUUUCAAAGCUAACGCAUUAAGUAGACCGC
RNAcentral lists this ribosomal RNA (821 nucleotides) under Pseudoalteromonadaceae bacterium ACEMC 17-2. Its description in RNAcentral is "bacterial SSU rRNA". It matches the Rfam family "Bacterial small subunit ribosomal RNA", at positions 54 to 872 of the family's 1533-position model. Lineage: Bacteria; Pseudomonadati; Pseudomonadota; Gammaproteobacteria; Alteromonadales; Pseudoalteromonadaceae. The record is from RNAcentral.